AGUGAACGCUGGCGGUAGGCCUAACACAUGCAAGUCGAACGGCAGCACAGUAAGAGCUUGCUCUUACGGGUGGCGAGUGGCGGACGGGUGAGGAAUACAUCGGAAUCUACUUUUUCGUGGGGGAUAACGUAGGGAAACUUACGCUAAUACCGCAUACGACCUACGGGUGAAAGCAGGGGAUCUUCGGACCUUGCGCGAUUGAAUGAGCCGAUGUCGGAUUAGCUAGUUGGCGGGGUAAGGGCCCACCAAGGCGACGAUCCGUAGCUGGUCAGAGGGGAUGAUCAGGCACACUGGAACUGAGACUCAGUCCAGACUCCUGCGGGAGGCCGCAGUGGAGAAUCCUGCGGGAUGGGGGCGAGCCUGAUCCAGCCAUACCGCGUAAAUGAUGAAGGCCUUAGGGUUGUAAAGCCCUUAUGUUGGGAAAGAAGAGCAACAGUUUAAUCCCCCGCUGUUCUGACGGUACCCAAAGAAUAAGCACCGGCUAACUUCGUG
Molecule: ribosomal RNA, 492 nt
Filed under: uncultured bacterium
Lineage: Bacteria
Description: partial 16S ribosomal RNA
Rfam family: Bacterial small subunit ribosomal RNA
Source: RNAcentral